GAUGAACGCUGGCGGCGUGCCUAAUACAUGCAAAUCGAGCGAACAGACGAGGAGCUUGCUCCUUUGACGUUAGCGGCGGACGGGUGAGUAACACGUGGGUAACCUACCUAUAAGACUGGGAUAACUUCGGGAAACCGGAGCUAAUACCGGAUAAUAUUUCGAACCGCAUGGUUCGAUAGUGAAAGAUGGCUUUGCUAUCACUUAUAGAUGGACCUGCGCCGUAUUAGCUAGUUGGUAAGGUAACGGCUUACCAAGGCAACGAUACGUGGCCGACCUGAGAGGGUGAUCGGCCACACUGGAACUGAGACACGGUCCAGACUCCUACGGGAGGCAGCAGUAGGGAAUCUUCCGCAAUGGGCGAAAGCCUGACGGAGCAACGCCGCGUGAGUGAUGAAGGUCUUCGGAUCGUAAAACUCUGUUAUUAGGGAAGAACAAACGUGUAAGUAACUGUGCACGUCUUGACGGUACCUAAUCAGAAAGCCACGGCUAACUACGUG
RNAcentral lists this ribosomal RNA (497 nucleotides) under uncultured bacterium. RNAcentral's name for it is "partial 16S ribosomal RNA". It matches the Rfam family "Bacterial small subunit ribosomal RNA", at positions 28 to 507 of the family's 1533-position model. The record is from RNAcentral.